This 714-nucleotide ribosomal RNA is filed under the name uncultured Pantoea sp. RNAcentral describes it as "bacterial SSU rRNA". It matches the Rfam family "Bacterial small subunit ribosomal RNA", at positions 801 to 1516 of the family's 1533-position model. The record is from RNAcentral. Lineage: Bacteria; Pseudomonadati; Pseudomonadota; Gammaproteobacteria; Enterobacterales; Erwiniaceae.
CGUAAACGAUGUCGACUUGGAGGUUGUUCCCUUGAGGAGUGGCUUCCGGAGCUAACGCGUUAAGUCGACCGCUGGGGAGUACGGCCGCAAGGUUAAAACUCAAAUGAAUUGACGGGGGCCCGCACAAGCGGUGGAGCAUGUGGUUUAAUUCGAUGCAACGCGAAGAACCUUACCUACUCUUGACAUCCACGGAAUUUGGCAGAGAUGCCUUAGUGCCUUCGGGAACCGUGAGACAGGUGCUGCAUGGCUGUCGUCAGCUCGUGUUGUGAAAUGUUGGGUUAAGUCCCGCAACGAGCGCAACCCUUAUCCUUUGUUGCCAGCGAUUCGGUCGGGAACUCAAAGGAGACUGCCGGUGAUAAACCGGAGGAAGGUGGGGAUGACGUCAAGUCAUCAUGGCCCUUACGAGUAGGGCUACACACGUGCUACAAUGGCGCAUACAAAGAGAAGCGACCUCGCGAGAGCAAGCGGACCUCACAAAGUGCGUCGUAGUCCGGAUCGGAGUCUGCAACUCGACUCCGUGAAGUCGGAAUCGCUAGUAAUCGUGGAUCAGAAUGCCACGGUGAAUACGUUCCCGGGCCUUGUACACACCGCCCGUCACACCAUGGGAGUGGGUUGCAAAAGAAGUAGGUAGCUUAACCUUCGGGAGGGCGCUUACCACUUUGUGAUUCAUGACUGGGGUGAAGUCGUAACAAGGUAACCAAGGGCGAAUUCCAG